This 951-nucleotide long non-coding RNA is filed under the name Homo sapiens (human). Its description in RNAcentral is "HSALNT0378086". The record is from RNAcentral. Lineage: Eukaryota; Metazoa; Chordata; Mammalia; Primates; Hominidae.
UGGCCUCACCCUUCCCUUCUGCUACCUACAAAAGCCCCCUGACAUAGCACUCUUGUCAUACUGAGACUAAGGUAGAAAAAGACACUUCCAAAGGGUGUCAAUGACAAGAGAGAAAUAGACAUAGAGUGGUCACUUCAUUUACCAACCCUGGAACCGCAGACCUCUGGGCUUCCUGGCCCAUUUCUGCCUCGGUUGCCUGCCUCCAACCACAAUCCAGUUUUUUGGCUCCCAGAGACAGACAUGCCCAGAUCUGAACACCACCCACCUGGAUAAAGAAAAUGGGUACGGCCAAGACCAUAGACCUAGUGAUUGUCAGAUGAACAAUUAGACCCACAGAACCAUCCAAGCUACAGAGGACGCAUUCUGCCUUCCCUUGGAUCCUGUGGUUUGAGGAUGGAGGUCUAGGACCGUGGCAGGCUUUUUGUCCCAUGAGGGAAGGCCAUGGAGCUGAGGAAGGGGAAGAACACACACACCUAAUGGAAUCUCGAGAGAAAGUUCAGACAUCAAAAGACAGAAGCGACAGAGACCCAGGUCUGUGGGGACGCUGUAUGGCUGAGUCAAGUCUUGAUCAAAGUCAGCAUUAUAUCUGGACUUGCACAGUUUCUGAGCCUUGAAACUCCAUUUCGUUUAAGUGAGCUUUUAACUGUCACAGGCAGCUGCAUGCACACACAAGUCCAUGUGAUUAGAUGUUUCCAAGAGUCUGGAAUAACAUACCCCAAACUGUUAAUAGUGGUUACCCUAUAGAAGGGGAGUAGGAAGGUGUGUGUUGGGGUGGAGGAUGGUUUGCCAACUGGAAACUCACUCCAGGCUAACAUUUAUUGCUAGGCACCAUUCUAAACUUUGCCAGUAAUCCUCUCCCUAGAGGCUGAGGAAGACCACUUCUUCAAGCCCUAUUUAAUAGACAGCGUGGCCAGGCAUGGUUGCUCACGCCUGUAAUCCCACCACUUUGGG